UACGGAGGGUGCAAGCGUUAUUCGGAAUCAUUGGGUGUAAAGCGCGUGUAGGCGGCCAAGUAAGUCAGAUGUGAAAGCUCUGGGCUCAACCCAGAAAGUGCAUUUGAUACUGCUUGGCUUGAGUCUCGUAGAGGAAGGUGGAAUUCCCAGUGUAGAGGUGAAAUUCGUAGAUAUUGGGAGGAACACCGGUGGCGAAGGCGACCUUCUGGGCGCAGACUGACGCUGAGACGCGAAAGCGUGGGGAGCAAACAGG
This 253-nucleotide ribosomal RNA is filed under the name uncultured bacterium. Its description in RNAcentral is "partial 16S ribosomal RNA". It matches the Rfam family "Bacterial small subunit ribosomal RNA", at positions 524 to 776 of the family's 1533-position model. The record is from RNAcentral.